UACGUAGGGUGCAAGCGUUAAUCGGAAUUACUGGGCGUAAAGCGUGCGCAGGCGGUUUUGUAAGACAGAGGUGAAAUCCCCGGGCUCAACCUGGGAACUGCCUUUGUGACUGCAAGGCUUGAGUGCGGCAGAGGGGGAUGGAAUUCCGCGUGUAGCAGUGAAAUGCGUAGAUAUGCGGAGGAACACCGAUGGCGAAGGCAGCCUCCUGGGAUAACACUGACGCUCAUGCACGAAAGCGUGGGGAGCAAACAGG
Molecule: ribosomal RNA, 253 nt
Filed under: uncultured bacterium
Lineage: Bacteria
Description: partial 16S ribosomal RNA
Rfam family: Bacterial small subunit ribosomal RNA
Source: RNAcentral